RNAcentral lists this ribosomal RNA (437 nucleotides) under uncultured bacterium. RNAcentral's name for it is "bacterial SSU rRNA". It matches the Rfam family "Bacterial small subunit ribosomal RNA", at positions 42 to 473 of the family's 1533-position model. The record is from RNAcentral.
UCAGGCCUAACACAUGCAAGUCGAACGGCAGCACGGGUGCUUGCACCUGGUGGCGAGUGGCGAACGGGUGAGUAAUACAUCGGAACGUACCUUAUCGUGGGGGAUAACGCAGCGAAAGCUGUGCUAAUACCGCAUACGCCCUGAGGGGGAAAGCGGGGGAUCGCAAGACCUCGCGCGAUUAGAGCGGCCGAUGCCUGAUUAGCUAGUUGGUGGGGUAAAAGCCCACCAAGGCGACGAUCAGUAGCUGGUCUGAGAGGACGAUCAGCCACACUGGGACUGAGACACGGCCCAGACUCCUACGGGAGGCAGCAGUGGGGAAUUUUGGACAAUGGGGGCAACCCUGAUCCAGCAAUGCCGCGUGAGUGAAGAAGGCCUUCGGGUUGUAAAGCACUGUUGUCAGGGAAGAAACACCGGCUCUAACACAGUCCGGGAAUGAC